CAGUAAGGAAUAUUGGUCAAUGGACGAAAGUCUGAACCAGCCAUGCCGCGUGGAGGAUGAAGGUCCUCUGGAUUGUAAACUUCUUUUAUAUGGGACGAAAAAAGGGUUUUCUAACCCGUCUGACGGUACCAUAUGAACAAGCACCGGCUAACUCUGUGCCAGCAGCCGCGGUAAU
This 175-nucleotide ribosomal RNA is filed under the name uncultured bacterium. Its description in RNAcentral is "partial 16S ribosomal RNA". It matches the Rfam family "Bacterial small subunit ribosomal RNA", at positions 352 to 524 of the family's 1533-position model. The record is from RNAcentral.